RNAcentral lists this ribosomal RNA (460 nucleotides) under uncultured bacterium. RNAcentral's name for it is "partial 16S ribosomal RNA". It matches the Rfam family "Bacterial small subunit ribosomal RNA", at positions 338 to 795 of the family's 1533-position model. The record is from RNAcentral.
CCUACGGGUGGCAGCAGUGAGGAAUAUUGGUCAAUGGACGAGAGUCUGAACCAGCCAAGUAGCGUGAAGGAUGACUGCCCUAUGGGUUGUAAACUUCUUUUAUAUGGGAAUAAAAUGUUCCACGUGUGGGCUUUUGUAUGUACCAUAUGAAUAAGGAUCGGCUAACUCCGUGCCAGCAGCCGCGGUAAUACGGAGGAUCCGAGCGUUAUCCGGAUUUAUUGGGUUUAAAGGGAGCGUAGAUGGGUUGUUAAGUCAGUUGUGAAAGUUUGCGGCUCAACCGUAAAAUUGCAAUUGAUACUGGCAGCCUUGAGUACAGUUGAGGUAGGCGGAAUUCGUGGUGUAGCGGUGAAAUGCUUAGAUAUCACGAAGAACUCCGAUUGCGAAGGCAGCUUACUAAACUGCCACUGACAUUGAUGCUCGAAAGUGUGGGUAGCAAACAGGAUUAGAUACCCUAGUAGUC